This is a long non-coding RNA of Hyaena hyaena (striped hyena), 280 nucleotides long. RefSeq lists it as uncharacterized. The record is from RefSeq and is a predicted model, not a curated record. NCBI's taxonomy places the organism in Eukaryota, Metazoa, Chordata, Mammalia, Carnivora, Hyaenidae. The transcript has 3 exons.
GGAUGGGCUUGGCGGUCCCAGAGUUGAUGCGAGCUGUGAGGAGUUUGCAGUAUCUCCUUUACAAGGCUGGACUGUCCUAUAUUUUGCUGUUGAACUGGAAACCAUCUGACCCUGUAUACACACUUGACUGACAUCUUGGAUGCUUCAAUUUUUCAGGGUGGAGGGAAGAAUGCAAGCUGGAAACAAGAAUGCAAGAGGGGAACAGAGUAUCUGAAGCCAGCUCUGCACUGACAGGCUGACAGCAGCGAGCCCGAUGUGGGAUUCAAACUCACCAACUGUG